This 497-nucleotide ribosomal RNA is filed under the name uncultured bacterium. RNAcentral describes it as "partial 16S ribosomal RNA". It matches the Rfam family "Bacterial small subunit ribosomal RNA", at positions 28 to 507 of the family's 1533-position model. The record is from RNAcentral.
GAUGAACGCUGGCGGCGUGCCUAAUACAUGCAAGUCGAGCGAACAGACGAGGAGCUUGCUCCUCUGACGUUAGCGGCGGACGGGUGAGUAACACGUGGAUAACCUACCUAUAAGACUGGGAUAACUUCGGGAAACCGGAGCUAAUACCGGAUAAUAUAUUGAACCGCAUGGCUCAAUAGUGAAAGACGGUUUUGCUGUCACUUAUAGAUGGAUCCGCGCCGCAUUAGCUAGUUGGUAAGGUAACGGCUUACCAAGGCAACGAUGCGUAGCCGACCUGAGAGGGUGAUCGGCCACACUGGAACUGAGACACGGUCCAGACUCCUGCGGGAGGCCGCAGUAGGGAAUCUUCCGCAAUGGGCGAGAGCCUGACGGAGCAACGCCGCGUGAGUGAUGAAGGUCUUCGGAUCGUAAAACUCUGUUAGUAGGGAAGAACAAAUGUGUAAGUAACUAUGCACGUCUUGACGGUACCUAACCAGAAAGCCACGGCUAACUACGUG